RNAcentral lists this small RNA (155 nucleotides) under Lepisosteus oculatus (spotted gar). Its description in RNAcentral is "HOXA11 antisense RNA 1 conserved region 5 (ENSLOCG00000018639.1)". The stretch from base 1 to 107 matches the Rfam family "HOXA11 antisense RNA 1 conserved region 5". The record is from RNAcentral. Lineage: Eukaryota; Metazoa; Chordata; Actinopteri; Semionotiformes; Lepisosteidae.
CUGCGAAAACCAGAAACAGCUCAAGACUGACCUGCGGUUUUAUAGUGCUUUUGGCAGUCAACUUCAGCUUUUGUCAGAGCAGACACGACAGAGCUGACCAAGGGCGAUAUACAGACGCCACCUACAUGGAAUUCGCGAUACCCUCAGAUGAAACG